Molecule: long non-coding RNA, 257 nt
Filed under: Lathyrus oleraceus (garden pea)
Lineage: Eukaryota; Viridiplantae; Streptophyta; Magnoliopsida; Fabales; Fabaceae
Description: Pisum sativum (pea) long non-coding RNA (PSAT_LNC022146)
Source: RNAcentral
UAUAUGUCUAAUAUUAUCACUAAGGUUUUCACCAAUAUCAAUCUCAUUCACAAAGAUUCAUCAUCAAUCAAAAUACUAAAACCCUAAAUAUACAUUUCCCUCAUGUCAACCAUAAUUGAGAAUCAUUAUCUAUCCUUACCUUGUUAUUCCUAGCAAUGAUCUCUUCAACCUCUAGCAAUGAUGCUCUUCCUAUGCUUCUCCUUCUUUUCCCUGGCCUCUUUCUCUACUUUCUCCUCACAACUUCACGUAGAAUGCAA